CCCCCUCCUUCGGACGUCUUCUCUUCACUCAUCCGCACGAAGCAGCCUCAUCCAAUCUCUCUCCUCUUCGCUUCAUUUUGUGCGACGACUGAAGCUGAAGAAGACCGAGCGAAAUUCCACCGCCAGCAGUUGCAACUCCUUUCAUCCGCGCGUCCCUCAGCCUCCGCGCAUCCGACUUGCUCCGUGGGUCAAACUCCAGCAACAAGCUUCGGUUUGUUGACCGAAGACCCCACGACGCCAACGAAGAAGCCCAGCAACCUUCUUCUUCAGCCACGCGGCCAAGCUGCAGCUUCCACGGUCAACUCCAGCAAGAACCGUCCCACUUUGUUGAUCUCGUGAAGCUGCCACGUCGGUGCUAAUGCACUCCAUGAAGACCCCAAGCUGCUCCCUCGUUCGCGCCUUCUGCCCACGAAGACCGAAGCCAGUGAAGCUGCUUCUUCACGCGUCCACGCCAGCUGUUCCCUCUCCUUCGCGUGUCCAGCAGUAGGCGUCCGCGAAGCCGCAGAGUCAACCUUCACUCGUGAAGCCUCCACCGUUGACCCAUCAAUUUCGUUGAAGCUGCCCGCACGUGUCACCAGCUCGGCCAGCAGUCCAGCGACAUCGUUCUCCAC
Molecule: long non-coding RNA, 611 nt
Filed under: Eucalyptus grandis
Lineage: Eukaryota; Viridiplantae; Streptophyta; Magnoliopsida; Myrtales; Myrtaceae
Description: long non-coding RNA (EGRA_LNC002379)
Source: RNAcentral